AUAUUAAUAAGCGGAGGAAAAGAAACUAACAAGGAUUCCCUCAGUAACGGCGAGUGAACAGGGAAGAGCUCAAGCUGAAAAUCGGGGGCCCAUCGGGUCUUUGAAUUGUAGUCUAGAGAAGCAACGUCCGCGGUGGCCCAGGUCUAAGUCCCUUGGAACAGGGUGUCACAGAGGGUGAGAAUCCCGUAUGUGGCUUGGAGAUCCGCCGCGUGUGAUGUGCUUUCUUCGAGUCGGGCUGUUUGGGAUUGCAGCCCUAAAUGGGUGGUAAAUUUCAUCUAAAGCUAAAUACAGGCGAGAGACCGAUAGCGCACAAGUA
RNAcentral lists this ribosomal RNA (316 nucleotides) under uncultured eukaryote. Its description in RNAcentral is "partial large subunit ribosomal RNA". It matches the Rfam family "Eukaryotic large subunit ribosomal RNA", at positions 40 to 350 of the family's 3401-position model. The record is from RNAcentral.